GGGACGCCGUGGUUGAUCACCUGGAAGAACCCCACCGUGCUCGCCGCCUGCCGAACCUGCUCCACCACGGCGGCGCGCGACCCCUGCACGGCGGCCAGGUCCACCGUGGGAAUCACCGGCGCAGAUUCGGAUUCGAACCCGCGCUUCAGCUCCGCUAAGGUUUCGGGCGGGUGAACGAAGAUAGCGGGGAUAGCCUUGAUUCCCGAAUCGACCAAACCUUUGACUCCGACCUUGGUUUCUUCGAACUCCUUCACCGCUUUGGCGCGGUUGUACGGCGCGGCGGCGCUGACAGCGGUUGCCACCGGUGAUGACAUUGGGAAGAGGCGAGAAUAGGAAUCGUUGUUUGAGUGUAGAGAGUUCAAAUUCAGUGUAAAGUGAAUUGAAAACUAUAAAGUGCACUUUUCUGAUUCGGCACAAAAAAUAAAUAACAAAAAUAUAUUACUCAAGAAACUUCACUAAUUCUAGUCAUUUUUUUAUUCAACAGGUUUUUUUUUCUUAUAUAAAAGCGUUACAUAUUCAUUUUGAAAUAAUAUGUCAAGUAACCAUAAUUAUUUGUUAUUACAUAAAAAAUAUAUAUUAUUAAAAAAAUAUAAAAAUAUAAAAUGAUUAGAACAAAAUCUUUAUAUUAAUAAAAAUAAUAUAUAAAUAAAUUAACAUAUUCAUAAAAAAUUCUAAAAUCAAAUUAAAAUUAAAUACAUAUUUUUUCCUUAAUUUAUCGAAAACACUCACUUUUAGAACAAAUAAUAUUUUAAAUAUAAUAAUUAAUUUUAAUAAUACUAUAUUUCUUCAUAAGAAUAUUCAAAUUAUAGUGAUGUUAUCAGUUACCUAACACUAAAAUAAUAUAAAUUUGGCCUUAUAGGAUGUUUUUAGAAUGUUGAAUUUUUACUAGAAAAUAAAAUAAAAUAAAAUUUAUUUGAAACACUAAAAUAAAAUAACACUAAAACAUAAUAUCUUACUAGAAAAUAAAAUUCUAGUUCUGUAAUGUGAGUGAUAAGAAUAUUUGAACUCAACCAGUCAAAGAUAUUGACUUUAUAUCUAUCAAAUUUAUCGUACUUAAAUCUACUAAAAUAUAAUUUCAUAAUUUAUUUAUAUAUACUAAUUCAUAGAAUAAUUUGUUCGUGUUUUUAUUAUGUAUUAAUUAAAGGUUUCGAUUUUUUUGUAUUUUAAACUUUAAUUCUUUAAAUUUUAAUCAAUAUUAUAAUUAGUAAAUAAAAUAAUAUGUUAGUCCACUUUGUUAGAAACUAGGGAAAUAAAAGGCGUGCCUAUAUGUUUAUAUUUUUUUAUGAUAAUAAUAAAAGAUAAUUAAUAUAAUUAUUGUUAUUACAAUGAAAUGUAAUUAUCCUAAAAAAGUUAGCUAAUGAAUAUAAAAACAGAGAGAAUAAAUUAAUAAAAAUAGUGUAUAAAAAAUAGUCAUGAAAACUAAUUCAUAGCUAAUAUUAAAAUGACGAUCAAUGAAAAUAAGAUUUUUUAUAAGUCAAGAUUUUUAGCUUUAUUGACAAUGAUUAGUUUCAAAUUAAUAUUAUUAAAAAUUAUUUAUCCAUAGAUGUUUGAUGUUAAUGGGGUUUUAUUUAGAUGUUAGCCAAAAGACUUCUAUUGAAAUUUUUAGUAGCUAUUUUUCAUCUGCUAAAAUUAUUUUAUGAACAAUAUUUCUAAUAUUAUUUGACGAUAAUUUUUGUAUUUAAAUUUUUUAUUUAGUAAUAAUUAAAAUACUCAAUUCAAAAAGUAAUAAAUUUGAAUUUUCUUGUUCAAACAAAAUAUUUGAAUAUUAAAAAUUAAAAAUAAAAGUAAGUGAAAUGGAAUAUAUUUAAACUUUUUAAAAAAUAUAGAAUUUUGACCAUAGAAUAAAAAAAUGUAUUAACAAGGGAAGAAGGGGUUGGUGAAGGCAUGGAAAGGUUAGAGUAUAUUCAACUUUCUGAAUAUGACUUUUAAACAAUUUUAUUCAAUCAAUGCUACAAUAUACAUUAUUGAAUAUUUGAGGUGCCUUGAAUUUUGGACUGUUUCUUCUUCUACCAUCAUAGUUUCUUCCUACCUUCAAUCUCAUAAUUCUUAAAAUAUCAAAAAUAUAUUUUAUUCUAUUAAUGUUUUUUUUUUAAAUAAUAUCAAUCUCAUUUUUUAAAAUAUCAAAAAUAUUUUCUAUUUUAUUAAUUUUUUUAAUUUCUAAAUAAUAAUUUGAAAAAACUUUGAAUUAUAGAAUUUAUAAAAUAACUUGUGGAGGUAUUUUUCGUGGAGUAUGGGAGAAUUUAUUGGAGCUUUACUGAGUUUCUUGAAGUUCAAACUGCUCUUCCUGUUGUGUUUUAUGGGGUUAUACAUGCUAUGGAGGAAGCUUAAAAGAUGUGGCUUACUUUUGUUUAGCUAGAAUGUGAUUCUACUUUGAUUUAAUCGAUGAAAUAUUUGUCUUAAUUAUUGUGAAAAAAUUAGAUUUAGGUUUACUCAUAUUUUUCGCGAAGGGAAUGCGUAGGCUGAUAAGUUAACUAAUUUAGAAUUUAUUCAUAGAAAAUCUUUUCAUUGUUAUAAUAAGCUACUAUCUAGUAUGUUUUUAAAAUUCUUUAUAAAUAAAUAUAGUUUACAUAUGUAUCGUUUUUGUUAAUAUAUAGAUUUUAGUUUAGUCACCCUAUAUUUUUUUAUUUUUUUUUAAUAAUAUUUUUUUUUAUGUGAUGGCAAAUGAUUGUUAUUACUUGAGAUGUCAACAUAACUAAGAUGGAUGCCUAACAUAAAAACUUUUAUUUAAAAAAAAAAUCUUCAUAAUUUUAUAAACUAAAAUGUGUUUUUUUAAAAAAAUAUUUCAAAUUAUUAAAUUUGAAAGGUAUUUCUAAAUCAAAGAAUAAAUUUUGAAUUCCAUAAUCUUGAAUUUAUUUUAUUUUAGAAAAAAUAUAUUCUGAAUUGUAGAAUCCAUAACUACAAUCCAGAUAUAUAAAUUAAAAAAAAAUACAUUCAAAAAUUAUAAAAUCUAUAAAUUAUUUUUAGAUUUGAAAAUAUAUUUUAAAUUCUUUAAUUCAUAAUAUAUUUUUUAAAGAAUACAAUAUUUUUGGAUUACUUAUAUUCCAGACUAAAUAAGAAAAAUUACAUUUUAAAUUGUAAAAUUUAGAAAAUACAUUCCAAAUUUUUUAAAAAUAAAAUAAUAUUUUCGUCUGAAAUAUAACAAUGUUAGAAGAAGCUAUAGAGAUUAGAAGAAGCUAUGAAGGUUUAAGAAGAAAGAGUCUCACCAUGUUUCAUGAAAAUUAUUAACUCAAUAAAAGAAGAGAAAGUUAUAAAGAUGUUUUAUAUUUGACCACCAGUCUCCACACAUUAAAGAUGAAAAAAUUAAUUUUCUCACCCGAAAGAUAUUUAUAAUCUCUUAUUAAAAAAUUAUAAAUUAAUUUAUACAACAAUUAAUUUAAAUUUUUAAAAAAUAUUCUCCCAAAAAUAUUUAUACAAAAUUUUGUCUAAAAAAAUUCUAAGUGUAUAGAGAUUCAUCAUUUUCAAGUACUUUUUUAAGUAUUUGAAUGUUCACUCUUACCCAAAAUAUGUAAAAAGAAGUUUCAAUAUAUUCUAAAUAGUACAUAAGAAAAUAGUUACAACCACAUCAUUGUUUUUUCUAGAACCUUCUGAAACAUUCUAAGGCUUUCCAAAAUAUUAAAACAUUCUACAACCUCAUUAAAGUUUCUAAUUUAUACCUUAAAUAAUUUUAAUCUAUAGAAAAGCGCUUUCUUGUCUUGUAAAAGUUCUAAAAGAAGUUUUAUAAAUUAACUAGUUUGUUACCAACACUGAAAAAUAUACAUGCAAUAUAGGAUGACACAAUGUUUAGUUAGAGAUCCAAUACCAAUUUAAGUCAUAAUAAGAAUGAAAAAGUUAGACAUCAAAUAAAAAAAACAUAAAUUCUUAGAAAAAUUUUAUGAAUUGAUAUAAUCUACUUAUGUAUCGUUUUUGUUAACAUAUGAGUUUUGGUCUAAUUUUAUUUUUUUUUAAUAAUAUUUUUUUCAUACGAUAACAAAUGAUUAUUGUCACUUGAGGUGUCAGCAUAGCUGAAAUGUCAAAUUGCAUAAUAAUGCCUAAAAUAAAAACUUUUAUUUAAAAAAAAAUCAUAAAUUCAUUUGAGUUGAAAAAUGUCUAAUAUGUGUUACUAAAACUAGAGUAUAUCAUAAGUGAGGGAGGAACCAUUAUUGUUUCAAUUCAUCAACCACCUUUAACCUUUUAUUCACAAUAUAAACUAAUUAGUUUAAAAUAUCAUCAUAUCACAUCAACCUUUUUAAAUCAAUACUUAAAAAGUUUUUAACAUAUACAAUCAGAAACUAUAGGUGCUAAGUGUGUGUUCAUCACUGCCUGAAGAAAUUUGUGAGUGAUUUACCAUCCAACUCUUUCUUGAAGAAUCUGGUCAUAAAUUCAUGGAAAGUGAAGUUCCUGUAAAGGGCUGGUUUCUCGGUUGAUGUUAGCUCUGGCAAUGGUCCAAAGAGUUUCUCCCUGUCACUUGGAUUGAGGAAAACAGCAACUGAGACUCUAGCCUCAUUACAAUGAUUAGCUAACACUCGAUGAUGAGCACUCUUAUAUGCUUCGUUAGAAAUUAUCUGAAACACAAAAUAAUGAAUAUGAAAGAUCAGAAAAAGGGAUGUCAUAAAACAAUUCCUACAUAUAUAACCUGGUAGACCUUCAAAUUUAACCAAAGUUUUUCUUGAAGUUAUAAAUGGUUCAAAUAAUAUGUUUACAAAAUCAUAAAAGUCACGUUGAUGCUAAGUUAACAAAUUGAUUUCAUAACUUUGCUUCAAAAUCUUAAUUCUAAUUAAUUUAAUUCCGUUCUUUUUGUUUGUCAAAUGCAUUCUCUUCAAAAUUAAGACCACUAAUAAUCUAUUAUUUUCAUUCUAUUAAACCAACUAACCACCAACUUCACCAACUUGACCAUAACAUUUUAAAGUAAAUAUUUUAGAUAAAUAAUGAUGAAAGGAUUAAAAAUAAUGUAAUUCUCAAGUGUUUUAAGAUGUUUCAAAUUAUUGACCCACAUGAAACAUCCAUCAUCAUAAGCACAAAAAUUAAGUGAAACAAGGCUUUAUUUAAUUAAACAAUUAUUAUUAUAUAUGAACAAAAUAAAAUAAAAUAUGAACCUGAAGGAAAUCUCCAAUGUUAAUAACCAAAGCUUGAGGCUGAGGCUUCACAUGGAUCCAACCAUCUGGAGUCUCAACCUGCAAGCCCCCAAUAUGGUCCUGCAGCAACACCGUAAGAGCCCCUGGAUCAGUAUGUGAAUUGAGACCCACCGUUAGAUCAGGCUGAGGGCAAAACGGGUAAUAGUGCCCCACCAUACCUCUUCCUUCCCCCAAACCCAUCUCCCUGAACCUCUCCGCACCCAAUCCCAGCCCCUCACUCAGCAACUCAAACAACACACUCGAAACACGCACCACCUCCUUAUUCCACUCCACCACCUCUUCUCUGCACAUCUCGGGAAUCUCCCUGGGAUCAACGGCUGUGGGCCCCAUUCUUAUCUGCAAAAUCAAAAUUAAAACUCAUAUUUAUUUUAUGAUUUCAUACAAUUUAUUUAUUUUCAAUGCCGAUUAAGUUUAAAUGUUUUCCAAAAAUUUAUAUUAUUUAAAGUUAAAAAAAUAGUCUGUGUGCCUUUUUAGACAGAAAUUUUAAAUAAUAAACACCAAAUAUUAAUUAGUACUUUCGAGGCUUGUAAAAAGGUUAAAUUUUAGUUUUAGUUGUUAUUUUAUUUUUUAUACGUGAUUUCGGUAACUAAAUAUUAAAGAGACUAAAUCACAAAUAAAAAAUUAAAAAAUAAAUUGCAAUUUAGCCUAUCGAAAAUUGCAUGAAUCUAAAAUUUUGUUUUAUAAACUAUAACCUAAUUUCUCUUGUUUCAAAAAUUAAUUAUUUAAAUUAAAAUUAUUAAUUAAAUAUACAUUUAAUCUUUCCUCAACAUGAUUUAUUUUAUGAAUAAAAGAACAUAAUUAAAACUUGAACCAAGUGGUCCCAGGAACACGAGUCCUAAUGCGUCAACCGAUUUAAAUUAUUUUUAAUUACAAAUUUUGUAUUACUUAAUCUUUGGUGAAGAUUAAUGAAUACAGAAUACCAAUAUAUUAUUAACUAAUAAAAAAUAGUUUUGAUAUAAUAUUUAAGAUAAUUAUUACUAAAUAUCGUAGAUUUAUUAUUUAUGGUGAAUAGUGAUUAGAAGGCGUUUCCCGUUUUUGACGCUAUGCUGAAAGUCACCGAGAAAUUAAAAUUCUUCAUAUAUUUCAGUUUUUAGAAGUAAUAAAAAAUAUUAAUCUUACACAAAAAAAAUUAAUUCACUUUAAAUUUACAAAAAUAAAAUAAAAAUCUCUUUCAUAAUAAUUAAUUGUAUAUUAAUAUUAAUUUCAAGUAUUAAUAGAAUUAAAAUUUCGUUAGUUACUCGUAUUGUGUCACGCCAGCUGGCAGCUUUUGAUUGGAAGAGAUCCACGUUGGAAAUGUACGAUACGCCCUUCCCCAUCUCUCUACGGUACACAGGCACUCUGUCCUCCGCGGGCUGCUCGUGGAACGCCUUCACCGCCGCCAGAGUUCGCCGGAGUACCUGCUCCGGGACGCCGUGGUUGAUCACCUGGAAGAACCCCACCGUGCUCGCCGCCUGCCGAACCCGCUCCACCACGGCGGCGCGCGACCCCUGCACGGCGGCCAGGUCAACCGUGGGAAUCUCCGGCGCAGAUUCGGAUUCGAACCCGCGCUUCAGCUCCGCUAAGGUUUUGGGCGGGUGAACGAAGAUAGGGGGGAUGGCCUUGAUCCCAGAAUCGACCAAACCUUUGACUCCGACCUUGGUUUCUUCGAACUCCUUCACCGCUUUCGCGCGGUUGUACGGCGCGGCGGCGCUGACAGCGGUGGCCACCGGCGAUGACAUUGGGAAGAGGCGAGAAUAGGAAUCGUUGUUUGAGUGUAGAAAGUUCAAAUUCAGUGCAAAGUGAAUUGAAAACUAUAAAGUGCAGUUUUCUGAUUUGGCACAAAAAUUAAAUAACAAAAAUAUAUUAGUCAAGAAACUUCACUAAUUCUAGUCAUUUUUUUAUUCAACAGGUUUUUUUUCUUAUUAAAAUAUAUCAAGUAACCAUAAUUAUUUAUUAUUACAUAAAAAAUAUAUUAUUAAAAAAUAUAUAUAUAAAAAUAAAAAAUAUGAAAUGAUUAGAUCAAAAUCUUUAUAUUAAAUAAAAUAAUAUAUAAAUAAAUUAUACAUAUUUAUAAAAAAUCUUAAAUCAGAUUAAAGGUUAAUAAGAAUUUAAAUAUAUAUUUUUCUUUAAUUUAUCGAACAACACUAACCUUUAAAACAAAUAAUAUUUCAAAUGUAAUAAUUAAUUUUAAUAAUACUAUAUUUCUUCAGAAGAAUAUUCAAAUUACAGUGAUGUUAUCAGUUACCUAACACUAAAAUAAUAUAAAUUUGGCCUUAUAGGAUGUUUUUAGAAUGUUGAAUUUUUUAUAAGGUGAGAAAGAAAAUACCAAUAGAAAAAUAAUUUUUAUAAUAGAGUUUAUAUGAAAUUAAGCUAAAAGCACUUUUAUAAGUAUAUCCAUUAUGAACUUCUCGAAGUAAGAAUAUUAUUAAUAGAGUUUAAUAUUUAACAAUUUAACUAUAUCAUGUAUAACUAAUAAUAAGUUGAUUUUUUUACUUAACCUUAACCUUAUUUAUGGAGGUUGAAAGCUCUAUAAAUAUAAAUACUUAUCAAAGAAAACAUAAUAUCUUACUAGAAAAUAAAAUUGUAGUUCUGUAACGUGAGUGAUAAAAAUAUUUGAAUUCAACCAGUUAAAGAUAUUGACUUUAUAUCUAUCAAAUUUAUCGUACUUAAAUCUACUAAACUAUAAUUUCAUAAUUUAUUUAUAUAUACUAAUUCAUAGAAUAAUUUGUUCAUGUUUUUAUUAUGUAUUAAUUAAAGGUUUCAAUUUUUUUGUAUUUUAAAAUUUAAUUCUUUAAAUUUUAAUCAAUAUUAUAAUUAGUAAAUAAAAUAAUAAGUUAGUCCACUUUGUUAGAAACUAGGGAAAUAAAAGGCGUGCCUAUAUGUUUAUUUUUUUAUGAUAAUAAAAGAUAAUUAAUAUAAUUAUUGUUAUUACAAUGAAAUGUAAUUAUCCUAAAAAAGUUAACUAAUGAAUAUAAAAACAGAGAGAAUAAAUUAAUAAAAAUAGUGUAUAAAAAAUAGUCAUGAAAACUAAUUCAUAGCUAAUAUUAAAAUGACGAUCAAUGAAAAUAAGAUUUUUUUAUAGUCAAUGUAAGUCAAGAUUUUUAGCUUUAUUGACAAGGAUUAGUUUCAAAUUAAUAUUAUUAAAAUGAUUUAUCAUCAAAUCAAGUUAUAACUAUUUAUUCAUAGAUGUUUGAUAUUUAGUGGGGUUUUAUUUAGAUGUUAGCCAAAAAAACUUCUAUUGAAAUUUUUAGUAGCUAUUUUUAAUCUGCUAGAAUUAUUUUAUGAACAAUAUUUCUAAUAUUAUUUGACGAUAAUUUUUGUAUUUAAUAUUUUUUAUUAAGUAAUAAUUAAAAUACUCAAUUCAAAAAAAUAAUAAACUUGAAUUUUCUAUUUGGGUGAUAGAAUUUUGAGCAUAGAAUAAAAGAAUGUGUUAACAAGGGAAGAACGUUUUGGUGAAGGCAUGGAAAGGUUAGAGUAUAUUCAACUUUCUGAAUAUAUGACUUUUAAGCAAUUUUAUUCAAUCAAUGCUACAACAUACAUUAUUGAAUAUAUUUGAGUUGACAUGACUUUUGGACUGCUUCUUCUUCUACCAUCAUAGUUUCUUCAAAGCUUCUUCCUACCUUCAAUCUCAUAAUUCUUAAAAUAUCAAAAAUAUAUUUUAUUUUAUUAAUGUUUUUUUUUAAAUAAUAUCAAUCUCAUUCUUUAAAAUAUCAAAAAUAUGUUAUAUUUUAUUAAAAUAUUUAAUUUCUAAAUAAUAAUUUGAAAAAACUCUGAAUUAUAGAAUUUAUAAAAUAUUUUUAAAUAUCCCGGUCUGGUUACUUGUUAAGGUAUUUUUCAUGGAAGUAUAGGGAAAUUUAUUGAAACUUUCUCUGCGUUUCUUGAAGUUCAGACUGCUCUGGUUGCUGAGUUUUAUGGGGUUAUACAUGCUAUGGAGAAAACUCAAAAGAUGGGGCUUUCUAAUGUCUGACUAGAAUGUGAUUUUGCUUUGGUUUGUGUUGCGUUUAUGGUUAUGACCAAUGUUCUUUGGAUGUUUCGUAAUCGAUGAAAUACUUGUCUUAAUUACUGUGGAAAAAUCAGAUUUAGGGUUACUCAUAUUUUUCGUGAAAGGAAUGCGUGUGUUGAUAAGUUGACAAUAUAAUUUAUUCAUAGAGAAUUUUUUCAUUGGUAUAAUACAUCUAGUAUAUUCUUAGAAUUAUUUAUGAAUAUGUAUCGUUUUUGUUAAUAUAUGCGUUUUGAUCUAAUUUAUCAUAUUUUCUUUCUUUUUCUUUUUUAAUAAUAUUUUUUUCAUGUGAUGAAAAAUAAUUGUUGUUACUUAGUGUAAGCAUAACUGAUAUAUGUCUAAGUUGCAUAAUGAUUACGAAAAAAUACAUUAAACAUGAAAGGUUUUAUUUUAAAAAAAAAACUUUCAUAAUUCUAUAAACUAAAAUGUGUUUUUUUUAAAAGAAUAUUCCAAAUUAUUAAAUAUGAAAGGUAUUUUUAAAUUAAAAAAUACAUUUUAAAUUCCAUAAUCUUGAAUUUGAAUUUAUUUUAUUUAAGAAAAAAUAUAUUCUGAAUUGUAGUCCAUAACUACAAUCCAGAUAUAUAAAUUAAAAAAAAAUUCAUUCAGAAAUUAUAAAAUCUAGAAAGUAUUUUUAUAUUUGAAAAUAUAUUUUAAAUUCUAUAAUUCAUAAUAUAUUUAAAAUAAAUAUUUUUGGAUUUCUUAUAAUCCAGAGUAAAUAAGAAAAAUUACAUUCUAAAUUAUAAAAUUUAGAAAAUACAUUCCAAAAAUUUUAAAAAUAAAAUAAUUUUUUCGUCUGAAAUAUAACAAUGUUAGAAGAAGCUAUGGAGGUUUAAGAAGAAAGAGUCUCAUCACCAUGUUUCAUGAAAAUUAUUAACCCAAUAAAAGAAGAGAAAGUUAUAAAGAUGUUUUAUAUUUGACACCACACAUUAAAGAUGAAAAAUUAAAUUUCUCACUCGAAAGACAUUUAUAGUCUCUUAUUAAAAAAUUAUAAAUUAAUUUAUACAUCAAUUAAUUUAAAUUUUAAAAAAAUGUUCUCCCAAAAAUAUUUAUAGAAAAUUUUGCCUAACAAAUUUCCAAUUGUAUAGAGAUUCAUCAUUUUCAAGUACUUUUUUAAGUAUUUGAAUGUUCACUCUUACCAAAAUAUGUAAAAAGAAGUUUCAAUAUCUUCUAAAGUACAUAAGAAAAUAGUUACAACCACAUCAUUGUUUUUUCUAGAACCUUAUGAAACAUUCUAAGGCUUUCCAAAAUAUUAAAGCAUUCUACAACCUCAAUAAAGUUUCUAAUUUAUACCUUAAAUAAUUUUAAUCUAUAGAAAAGCACUUUCUUGUCUUGUAAAAAUUCUAAAAGAAGUUUUAUAAAUUAACUAGUUUGUUACCAACACUGAAACAUAUACACUUGGCUUGCAACAUGCAAUAUAGGAUCACAAUAACCAGAAGUAUGAACAAGAUGACACAAUGUUUAGUUAGAAAUCCAAUACCAAUUUAAGUCAAAAUAAGAAUGAAAAAGUUAGACAUCAUAUAAAAAAAACAAAAAUUCUUUAUGAAUAGGUAUAGUCUAUCUAUGUAUCGUUUUUGUUAACAUAUGAGUUUUGGUCUAAUUUUCCAAUCUUUUUUAAUAAUAUUUUUUUUCAUGACAAAUGAUUAUUGUCACUUGAGGUGUCAACAUAGCUGAAAUGUCAAAUUACAUAAUAAUAACUAAAAUAAAAAUUUUUAUUUAAAAAAAAAACAAAAAAAAAUCAUAAAUUCAUUUGAGUUGAAAAAUGUCUAAUAUGUGUUACUAAAACUAGAGUAUAUCAUAAGUGAGGGAGGAACCAUUAUUGUUUCAAUUCAUCAACCACCUUUAACCUUUUAUUCACAAACUAAUUAGUUUAAAAUAUCAUCAUAUCACAUCAACCUUUUUAAAUCAAUACUUAAAAUGUUUUUAACAUUGACAUAUACAACCAGAAAUUAUAGGUGCUAAGUGUGUGUUCAUCACUGCCUGAAGAAAUUUGUGAGUGAUUUUCCAUCCAACUCUUUCUUGAAGAAUCUGGUCAUAAAUUCAUGGAAAGUGAAGUUCCUGUAAAGGGCGGGUUUCUCAGUUGAUGUUAACUCUGGCAAUGGUCCAAAGAGUCUCUCCCUGUCACUUGGGUUGAGGAAAACAGCUACUGAGACUCUAGCCUCAUUACAAUGAUUAGCUAACACUCGAUGAUGAGCACUCUUAUAUGCUUCGUUAGAAAUUAUCUGAAACACAAAAUAAUGAAUAUGAAAGAUCAGAAAAAGGGAUGUCAUAAAACAAUUCCUACAUAUAUAACCUGGUAGACCUUCAAAUUUAACCAAAGUUUUUCUUGAAGUUAUAAAUGGUUCUAAUAAUAUGUUUACAAAAUUAUAAAAGUCAAGUUGGUGCUAAGUUAACAAAUUAAUUUCAUAACCUUGCUUCAAAAUGUAAAAUUUAAUUAAAUUACUUUCCUUCUUUUUGUCUGUCAAAUGCAUUCUCUUCAAAAUUAAGAUCACUAAUAAUCUAUUAUUUUCAUUUUCAAAAAUAUUAUCUUAUCUUAAAAUAUCAUACCAUUUAUGUCUUGUGUGAGUAUCAUUAAUUUUGACUCUUAAACGAUACGAGAAUAAGCAAUGUGAAAAUAAUUAACAUAUAGCAAGGAGACCAUAAUAUUUUAAAGUAAAUAUUUUAAAUAAAUAAUCUUGAAAGGAUUAAAAAUAAUGUAAUUCUCAAAGUGUUUGUUUCAAAUUAUUGACCCACAUGAAAGAUACAUCAUGAUAAGCACAAAAAUUAAGUGACACAAGGGUUUAUUUAAUUAAACAAUUAUUAUUAUAUAUGAACAAAAUAAAAUAAAAUAUGAACCUGAAGGAAAUCUCCAAUGUUAAUAACCAAAGCUUGAGGCUGAGGCUUCACAUGGAUCCAACCCUGUGGGGUCUCAACCUGCAAGCCCCCAAUAUGGUCCUGCAGCAACACCGUAAGAGCCCCUGGAUCAGCAUGCGAAUUAAGACCCACCGUUAGAUCAGGCUGAGGGCAAAACGGGUAAUAAUGGCCCACCAUAAUUCUUCCUUCUCCCAAACCCAUCUCCCUGAACCUCUCCGCACCCAAUCCCAGCCCCUCACUCAGCAACUCAUACAACACACUCGAAACACGCACCACUUCCUUAUCCCACUCCACCACCUCUUCUCUGCACACCUCGGGAAUCUCGAUAGGAUCAACGGCUGUGGGCCCCAUUCUUAACUGCAAAAUAAAAUAAAAAAUUCAUAUUUAUUUUAUUUUUUAUUUUUUAUUUUUAUCGGCAAUGAAAAACGAAUUAAAUAUGAUUCAGAGUAGAGAGGUGUUCUUACUAAACAAACUUCAAAAUAUGCCUACUGAAUCCAGAUAAAAAUACUAUAGAAUCACUUAAUUAAGGUGCUCAAGCCAAGACAACAAUGAAAAUAUUUAUUUUAAUAUUAAUUUUAAUUAUAAAAUUCGUAUUAAUAUUUAAAAUAGUUAUUACUAAAUAUCGUAAAUUUAUUAUUUAUGGUGAAUUAUGAUCAGAAGGCUAUUCCCACCGAGAAAUUAAAAUUCAUGGUAUAUUUCAGUUUUGGUAGUAAUAAAAAAUAUUAAUCUUGCACAAAUUUUUAAUUCACUUUAAAUUUACAAAAAUAAAAAAAUCUCUUUAAUAUUAAUUAAUUGUAUAUUAAUAUUAAUUUUUUUAAUAGCAUAUGAUACCAAAGAUCAAGUAUUAGUUACCUGAAUUGUGUCACGCCAGCUGGCAGCUUUUGAUUGGAAGAGAUCCACGUUGGAAAUGUAAGAUACGCCCUUCCCCACCUCCCUACGGUACACCGGCACCCUGGCCUCCGCGGGCUGCUCGUGGAACGCCUUCACCGCCGCCAGAGUUCGCCGGAGUACCUGCUCCGGGACGCCGUGGUUGAUCACCUGGAAGAACCCCACCGUGCUGGCCGCCUGUCGAAUCUGCUCCACCACGGCGGCGCGCGACCCCUGCACGGCGGCCAGGUCUACCGUGGGAAUCUCCGGCGCUGAUUCGGAUUCGGACCCGCGCUUCAGCUCCGCUAAGGUUUCGGGCGGGUGAACGAAGAUAGGGGGGAUAGCCUUGAUUCCCGAAUCGACCAAACCUUUGACUCCGACCUUGGUUUCGUCGAAUUCCUUCACCGCUUUCGCGCGGUCGUAUGGCGGGGCGGCGCUGAGCGCGGUGGCCACCGGCGAUGACAUUGGGAAGAAGCGAGAAUAGGAAUCGUUGUUUGUGUGUAGAAAGUUCAAAUUCAGUGUAAAGUGAAUUGAAAACUAUAAAGUGCAGUUUUCUGAUGCGGUUCAACAAAUAAAUAACAAAAAUAGAUUAGUCAAGAAACUUCACUAGUUCUGGUCUUUUUUUUAUUCCAAUUAUAUUUCUUUAUUUACACGACUCAAAAUUAAAAUAUGAAAUAACAAAUUAUAUUUAAUUAAAAUGAUAAACUAUUAUUGGUUACCUAACACUACAAAAAUAUAAAUUUUGUCUUAUAUGAUAUUUUUGGAGUGUUGAAUUUUUUAUAAGGUGAAAAAAAAAUACCAAUAGAAAAAGAUUAUAAUAGAUUUUUUUUUAAAUGGGUUGAAAUUAAGGGAAAGAUUGUGUUUUUUUUUUCUUUUUUUUAAAUGGUUUUUUAAAUGGUUUUUGCGCUCUUAUUUAUAUAAACAUAACGAAUUUAGUCGGUUAGUGAUGAGACUUCCAAGUGUUCCAUAAAUUCGAUAUAAAAUUUAUAUAAAUUUAAGUUAAAAAAUACUCUUAUACGUAUAUAUUAUGAAACUUCUCAAACUAAAAAUAUUAUUAAUAGAGUUUAGUAUUGAACAAUUUAACUAUAUCGUUUAACUAAUAAGUUUAUUUUUUUUUACUUGAGUUUAGUAUUGAACAAUUUAACUAUAUCGUUUAACUAAUAAGUUGAUUUUUUUUCACUUGAGGUUGAAAACCUUAUAAAUACAAGUAUUUAACAAAGAAAACAUAAUAUCUUAAUAGAAAAUGAAAUUGUAGUUAUGUAACGUAAGUGAUAAGAAUAUUUGAAUUUAACCAUUCAAAGAUAUUGACUUCUGAUAUCAACUUUAGAAAAUCAGAUUUAUUAAAUUUAUUGUACUUAAAUCUAUUAAAAUAUAAUUUCAUAAUUUGUUUACAUAUAAUUAUUUAUAAUAUAACAUUUUCAUAUUUUUAAUAUGAAUUAAUUAAAUGUUUCAAUUUUUUUGUAUUUUUAAACUUUAACUUUUAAAUUUUUAUUUAAAUUUUAAUCAAUAUUAUAAUUAUUAAAUAAAAUAAGAUAUGUGAGUCCACUUUCUUGGAAACUAUGGAAAACAGAGGCAUGCUUAUAUGUUUAUCUUCUUUUAUGAAAAUAAAAGAUAAUUAAUAUAAUUAUUAUUAUUAUUAUAAUGAAAAGUAAUUGUCCUAAAAAAGUUAGAUAAUGAAUAUAAAAACAGAAAGAAUAAAUUAAUAAAAAAAAGUGUAUAAAAAACAGUCAUGGAAAUUAAUUCAACUUAGUAGUGGUUAUAAAUAAAGUAAUAUAUCUAUUUAAAACUUGAAAAGAAAAGUGUAAUUUUCGAUUUUCUCAUUUGUUAACUUUCGUGGUAAUGGUCUUAAAAACUAUGUUUUUUUUUUUUAAUGAAAAUUUUCAUGUUAGGCAUCCCUAUGCAACUUGACAUCUCAGCUAGGCUGACAUCUCAAGUAACAACAAUCAUCUGCCAUCACAUGAAAAAAGUAUUAUUAAAAAAAAGGAAAAAAAAGAAAAUACAAAAAUAUGGGGGGACUAGACCAAAACCCACAUGUUAACAAAAACGAUACAUAGGUAGACUAUACCUAUUCAUAAAGAAUUCUAAGAACAGACUAGAUGGAAGUCUAUUAUACCAAUGAAAUGAUUGUCUAUGAAUGAACCCUAAAUUAGCCAACUUAUCAGCACAUGCAUUUCCCUCACGAAAAAUACGAGUAACCCUAAACCUGAUUGUCCUACAGAAAUUAAGACAAGUAUUCCAUCGAUUACGAAGCAUCCACGGAACAGUAGUCCUAGCAGUAAACGCAGCACAAACCAAGACAGAAUCACAUUCAAGCCAAACAUUAGUAAGUCCCAUCUUCUGAGCUUCCUCCAUAGCAUGUAUAACUCCAUAAAACUCAGCAACCAAAGCAGUUUGAAUUUCAAGAAACCCUGAAAAAGCACCAAUAAAUUCUCCCAUACUCCCACGGAAAAUACCUCCACAAGUAGCAAGUCCAGGAUACCCCUAGCAGCCCCAUCAGUGUUAAUUUUAACCCAGCCUGGUGAAGGAAAUUCCCAUCUAACUGAAAGAGGAUGAAGAACUUUCCCACUACGAGUCUUAAUACCAAUAAUAUUAUUAUUUUAUUUGGAGUUAGGAUUUGAAAUUCUUAAAAACUAUGUUUUAUUAACUAACAGUGUAAUAAAAUUUAUAUUCAUAAUUUGGAGGAACAAUAUCAAAUACCAACCAUGUCAUACAAAUUAAACAACAGGCUAAAUAAAUACAAAAACAAAAUAGUUUAAAUACUCAUGAAAACAAAAAAUUUAAAGAACAUUUUAAUUAAAAAUAUACAAAUUUAUAAAGUAGUAAAACCUCAGUUAAACUUAUAUUAUAUUACGAAAUUAAGAUUAGAAAAUAAGAAAUAAGGAUCAAAUUCUUUAAAACGUUAAAAAAUAAUAAAUAAAAAAAAUAAAGAAAUGGUGAAAGAAAAGAUCACGCAACUAUUGUUUUGCAUUGACGUGGCAGGCUUUGAGCCAAAAGUUGAAACCGGAAGUUCCCACACGCUACGCUGGAGUGAGGUCUCAUCUUUCGCUGGAAACAAUGACAGCUUACGUAUUCCACCUAUCAUAAAAUGUUACACAAUGGCAUUUUUUAAUAAAUAUAAAUUUUAAAAUAUAACUGAUAUAAUAAGUAUAUGUUAUAUUUGUUUUCUAUGUGUGGAUGUGGGAACCUAAGUAAUGUUUAUUCACUUGAUAUACAAUUUGCUGUUGUGUCGGUAGUUUCUGAAUUUUUUAAAGUUGUUCUUCUCCUACGUGUGUGCUCCGUUGGUCGGUGGAUGGGUAUCUGCGAUUGCACUUCGUCGUUCAAGUCAGUGCUAGUGAUUAGUUUGUUAUCUUAGGAUAUGAAAAACGUACAUUUUCCCUCUUCAGAAGUCUUAUUUAUAGGUUGACCUGGACCUCCUUCGUGUGGGUCAGAUAAUCAGUUUAUUAAGACGUGUGUAGGUCGUGUGUAGUGACUUCUUAAAAUCAUGAGAGUGUAUUCGAAGUACAACUCAUUCAACGCAAACUAUAUAACAGUUUUCUUGCCACGUAUGUUAUAUUAUUAAUUCAUGUAUUGGAUCGGACUCGUACAUGUUUAUUAUAAAAUCGUUAUAGAAACUUAUUCACUAUAUCAUCUGAAGUUUUAACUGACAUAGGUACUUCUCUCAUGUGAGUUUUACACACUUAGUUUCACUAAUAUUUUAUGUGAUUCACUAAAAUGGAGGUAUUGGUGGCGCAAAAGACGAAGCAGCGAGGGUUUGCGUUAGCAUCUGUUUCUGAGGUUUCCAAGUUUCUUCUUUUUUUUUUUAAUCUGUGGUGUGGCACAUCAUUGGUUUGACUGAUGCAUGCUAGUUUUAUAUCUUUGUGUUUACUUUUCUUAUAAAGUGGUGUUUUGCAAGUGAUGUUAAAUACGAUUUUUUUUAUUAACAUCAAUUAGAAUUAUUUUGAAUAGAUCUUAGUUAGGAUUGAUGUAGUUGAUGUGGAUGUAAUUUAUGAUUAUUUUUUUUACUAAUGUCAAUUAUAGCUAAUAUUAAAAUGACUAUCAAUGAAAAUAAGAUUUUUUAUAGUCAAUGUAAGUCAAGAUUUUUAGCUUUAUUGACAAGGAUUAGUUUCAAAUUAAUAUUAUUAAAAUGAUUUAUCAUCAAAUCAAGUUAUAACUAUUUAUCCAUAGAUGUUUGAUGUUAGUGGGGUUUUAUUUAGAUGUUAGCCAAAAAACUUCUAUUGGAAUUUUUAGUAGCUACUUUUCAUAUUUUAUGAACAAUAUUUCCAAUAUUAUUUGAUGAUAAUUUUUGUAUUUAAUAUUUUUUAUUUAGUAAUAAUUAAAAUACUCAAUUCAAAAAAAUAAUAAACUAGAAUUUUCUUGUUCAAACAAAAUAUUUGAAUAUUAAAAAUUAAAAAUAAAAGUAAGUGAAAUGGAAUAUAUUUAAACUUUUUAAAAAUAUAGAAUUUCCUAUUUGGGUGAUAGAAUUUUGACCAUAGAAUAAAAGAAUGUAUUAACAAGGGAAGAAGGGGUUGGUGAAGGCAUGGAAAGGUUAGAGUAUAUUCAACUUUGUGAUUAUGACUUUUAAUCAAUUUUAUUCAAUCAAUGCUACAUACAUUAUUGAAUAUUUGAGGUGCCAUGACUUUUGAACUGUUUCUUCUGGUACCUUCAUAGCUUCUUCCUACCUUCAAUUACAUAUUUUUUUAAAUAUCAAAAAUAUUUUUUAUUCUAUUGAAGUUUUUUACUUUAAAUUAUAAAAUUUAUGAGAUAUUUCCAAAUCCAAACACCUUUCAAAUUUUAUAAACCAAAAUAUAUUUUUUCCAAAAAAAUACAUUUCAGAUUAUAAAAACCAAAAUGUGUUUUUUCUAAAAUAAAUACAUUUUAAAUUGUAGAAUUUGAAAAAUAUUUUGUACUCUACAGAGUCCAUAGAAUCAUAAUGUGUAAAUUAAAAAAAAAUACAUUAUAGAUUUUAAAAAGGUAUUUUGAAUCUAAAAAUGAAAAAUAUUUCAAAUUCUAUAAUUUAAAAUAUAUUUUUUUAGAAAAAUAUUUCACAUUGCAAAACUGGAAAUUUUACAACCCAAAAUAUGUAAAUAGAAAAAACUGCAAUCCAAAAGGAGAGAGUUAUAAAAAAGAGAAAGUUAUAAAGAUGUUUUAUAUUUGACCACCAGUCCCAAAAAAAUUAAAUUUCUCACUCGAAAUGACAUUUAUAGUCUCUUAUUAAUUGAAAAUUAAUUAAUUUUAAUUUAGAAAAAUGUUCACCAACAAAUAUUUAUAGAAAACUUUGUCUACAAAUUUCCAGAUGUAUAGAGAUUCGUCAUUUUCAAGUACUUUUUUAAGUAUCUCAAUGUUCACUCUUACCCAAGAUAUGUAAAAAAAGUUACAAUAUCUUUUAAAUGACUCUUACCCAAAAUAUGUAAAAGAAGUUACAAUAUCUCCUAAAGUAUAUCAGAAAAUAGUUACAACCACAUCAUUGUUUUUUCUAGAACCCUCUGAAACAUUCUAACAUUUUCCGAAAUAUUAAAACAUUCUACAACAUCAUUAAAGUUUAUAAUUUAUACAUUAAAUAAUUUUAAUCUAUAGAAAAGCACUUUCUUGUCUUGUAAAAGUGCUAAAAAAAGUUACAUAAAUUAGCAAGUUUGUUGCCAACACUGAAGCAUAUACACUUGGCUUGCAACAUGCAACAGGAUUACAAUAGCCAUUAGAAUUCCUUACCUAUCUUAAGAGAAGUAUGAACAAGAUGACAACAUUUAGUUAGAAAUCCAAGUACCAAUUUCAGUCCAUAAGUAAGAAUGAAAAGUUAGACAUCAUAUAAAAAGAACCCAUAAAUUCAUUUGAGUUGGAAAAUGUCUUAUAUGAGUUACUAAAACUAGAGCAUAUCAUGAAAUGGGGGAGGAACAAUUAUUGCUUCAAUUCAUCAACCACCUAAUUAGCAUAAAAUAUCAUCAUAUCACAUCAACCUUUUUAAAUAAGUACUUAAAAUAUUUUUAACAUAGAAUAUACAACCAGAAAUUAAUAGGUGUGCUAAGUGUGUGUUCAUCAUUGUCUGAAGAAAUUUGUGAGUGAUUUACCAUCCAACUCUUUCUUGGAGAACCUGAUCAUAAAUUCAUGGAGAGUGAAGUUCCUGUAAAGGGCUGGUUUCUUUGUUGAUGUUAGCUCUGGCAAUGGUCCAAAAAGUCUCUCUCUGUCACUUGGGUUGAGGAAAACAGCAAUUGAGACUCUAGCCUCAUUACAAUGAUUGGCUAACACUCGGUGAUGAGCACUCUUAUAUGUCUCGUUAGAAAUUAUCUGACACACAAAAUGAUGAAUGGGAGAGAUCAAAACAAGGAAUGUCAUACAAUAAUUCCUGCAUAUAUAACCUUGUAAACCUUCAAAUUUAACCAAAAUUAUUCUUGCAGUUAUAAAUGGUUCUAAUAAUAUGUUCACAAAAUUAUAAAAGUCAAGUUGAUGCUAAGUUAACAAGAUCAUUUCAUGACCUUGCUUCAAAAUCUAAAUUCUAAUUACUUUAUUUCCCUUUGUCUGUCAAAUGCAUACUCUUCAAAAUUAAAACCACUAAUAAUCUAUUAUUUUUAUUCUCAAAAAUAUUACACCCAGUCUUAAAAUACCAUUUGUUUCGAUUUUAAAUCUACUGAGACAUUGCUAGAUCAAACUCCAUUCGAAACAUUGUCUGCUCCAUCUGAGGUAUUGUCCGCUUUGAAAUUCGAUACUCCUUCAUGAUUUUGUCCUUAAAAAGGUGUCUCAAUGGGUUAAGAAAGAAAAGUGUGUUUAAAGUGUCAUUGACUUCAAUACUUAAAUGAUGUGAGAAUGAUCCUCGAGGACUAAGGGAACGAGGUCGAGGAUGUGUCUUUGGAACCUCAAAUAUAAUGAUUGAUCCUAACGAUAUUAUCCCCCUUCACAACUAAGGAACUCAAAUGUGUGUCUGAAACCUCAAAUAGAGUGAUCUUUGACGAUUUUAAAAUAAAUACUUUAGAUAAAUAAUCUUGGAAGGAUUAAAAAUAAUGUGAUUCCCAAAUUUUAAGAUGUUUCAAAUUAUUAUUGACCCACAUGAAACAUCCAUCAUCAUCAUCAUAAGCACAAGCACAAGAAUUAAGUGACACAAGGCUUUAAUUAAUUAAACUAUUAUUAUUAUAUAUUAAUUAAAUAAAAUUAAAUAUGAAACCUGAAGGAAAUCUCCAAUGUUAAUAACCAAAGCUUGAGGCUGAGGCUUGACAUGGAUCCAACCCUGUGGGGUCUCAACCUGCAAGCCCCCAAUAUGGUCCUGCAGCAACACCGUAAGAGCCCCUGGAUCAGCAUGCGAAUUAAGACCCACCGUUAGAUCAGGCUGAGGGCAAAACGGGUAAUAAUGUCCCACCAUAACUCUUCCUUCACCCAAACCCAUCUCCCUGAACCUCUCCGCACCCAAUCCCAGCCCCUCACUCAGCAACUCAUACAACACACGUGACACACGCACCACCUCCUUAUCCCACUCCACCACCUCUUCUCUGCACACCUCGGGAAUCUCGCUGUGAUCAACGGCUAUGGGCCCCAUUCUCAUCUGCAAAAUAAAAAUAAAAACUCAUUUAUUUUAUCAUUUCAUACAAUUUAUUUAUUUUCAAUGCCGAUUAAUUUUAAAUGUUUUCCAAAAAAUAUUAUAUUAUGUAAAAAAUAAAUAUUUUGUGUGCCUUUUUAGACAGAAAGUUUAAAUAAUAAACUUUCGAGGCUUGUAAAAAGGUUAAAUUUUACUUUUGGUUCUUAUUUUAUUUAUUAAAAGUGAUUUCGGUCACACAAUAUUUGUUGUGACAUUAUUAAAAAGUUUGUAACUUUAAUUCAAUUAUUAUCAAUUUUUUAAAAAUUGCAAGUUUUAAAUAUAUGAAGAUUAAAUAAAAAAAAAGGUGUUUAUUAAAAAAUAAAUUGUAAUUUAGCCUAUAAAAAAUUGCAUGAAUCUAAAAUUGUGUUUCAUAAACUAUAAUUUAAUUUCUCUUGUUUCAGAAAUUAAUUAUUUAAAUAUAAAUUAUUAAUUAAAUAUACAUUUAAUCUUCCCUCAACAUGAUUUAUUUUAUGAAUAAAAGAACAUAAUUAAAAUUUCAACCAAGUGGUCCAAAAAACACGAGCCUAAUACUUGUGCCAACCGAUUUAAAUUAAUUUUAAUUACAAAUUUUGCAUUAAUGAAUACCAAUAUAUUGCUAACUAUUAAAAAAUAAUUUUGAUAAAUAUUUAAGAUAAUUAUUACUAAAUAUCGUAGACUUAUUAUUUACGGUGAAUUAUGAUCAGAAGGCUUUUCCCGUUUAGACGCGAUGGUAAGAGUCAUCCAGAAAUUAAAAUUCUUGAUAUUUCAGUUUUUGUAGUAAUUAAAAAUAUUAAUCUUACACAAAUCUUUAAUUCACUUUAAAUUUACAAAAAUAGAAAAAUCUCUUUAAUAUUAAUUUAUUGUAUAUUAAUAUUAAUUUUUUAAUAGCAUAUGAUACCAAAGAUCAAGUAUUAGUUACCUGAAUUGUGUCACGCCAGCUGGCAGCUUUUGAUUGGAAGAGAUCCACGUUGGAAAGGUAUGAUACCUUCCCCACCUCCCUACGAUACACCGGCACCCUGGCCUCCGCCGGCUGCUCGUGGAACGCCUUCACCGCCGCCAGAGUUCGCCGGAGUACCUGCUCCGGGACACCGUGGUUGAUCACCUGGAAGAACCCCACCGUGCUCGCCGCCUGCCGAACCUGCUCCACCACGGCGGCGCGCGACUCCUGCAUGGCGGCCAGGUCCACCGUGGGAAUCUCCGGCGCUGAUUCGGAUUCGGACCCGCGCUUUAGCUCCGCUAAGGUUUCGGGCGGGUGAACGAAGAUAGGGGGGACAGCCUUGAUUCCCGAAUCGACCAAACCUUUGACUCCGACCCUGGUUUCGUCGAACUCCUUCAGCGCUUUCGCGCGGUCGUACGGCGCGGCGGCGCUGACCGCGGUGGCCACCGGCGAUGACAUUGGGAAGAAGCGAGAAUAGGAAUCGUUGUUUGGGUGUAGAAAGUUCAAAUUCA
RNAcentral lists this long non-coding RNA (21772 nucleotides) under Phaseolus vulgaris (common bean). RNAcentral's name for it is "long non-coding RNA (PVUL_LNC003757)". Lineage: Eukaryota; Viridiplantae; Streptophyta; Magnoliopsida; Fabales; Fabaceae. The record is from RNAcentral.